Molecule: microRNA precursor, 68 nt
Filed under: Sus scrofa (pig)
Lineage: Eukaryota; Metazoa; Chordata; Mammalia; Artiodactyla; Suidae
Also listed under: 1 other name
Description: mir-4449 microRNA precursor family
Rfam family: mir-4449 microRNA precursor family
Source: Rfam by way of RNAcentral
AGCAGCCCUCGGCGUCCCGGGAGGGGCGGGCGGCGGUGCCCGUCCCGGGGCCGCGCGAGGCACACACG